AGAGUUUGAUCAUGGCUCAGAUUGAACGCUGGCGGCAUGCCUUACACAUGCAAGUCGAACGGUAACGGGCCUUCGGGUGCCGACGAGUGGCGAACGGUGAGUAAUGCAUCGGAACGUACCUUUCAGUGGGGAUAACGUAGCGAAAGUUACGCUAAUACCGCAUAUUCUGUGAGCAGGAAAGCAGGGGAUCGCAAGACCUUGCGCUGAUUGAGCGGCCGAUGUCAGAUUAGCUAGUUGGUGAGGUAAAGGCUCACCAAGGCGACGAUCUGUAGCGGGUCUGAGAGGAUGAUCCGCCACACUGGAACUGAGACACGGUCCAGACUCCUACGGGAGGCAGCAGUGGGGAAUUUUGGACAAUAGGGGCAACCCUGAUCCAGCCAUGCCGCGUGAGUGAAGAAGGCCUUCGGGUUGUAAAGCUCUUUCGGCCGGGAAGAAAUCGCAUGGGUUAAUACCCUGUGCGGAUGACGGUACCGGCAUAAGAAGCACCGGCUAACUACGUG
This 500-nucleotide ribosomal RNA is filed under the name uncultured bacterium. RNAcentral's name for it is "bacterial SSU rRNA". It matches the Rfam family "Bacterial small subunit ribosomal RNA", at positions 8 to 507 of the family's 1533-position model. The record is from RNAcentral.